UGGGGGAUAUUGCACAAUGGGCGAAAGCCUGAUGCAGCGACGCCGCGUGGGGGAUGAAGGCCUUCGGGUUGUAAACUUCUUUUGCUCUGAACAAGGCGCACCAUGGGGUGUGUUGAGUGUAGGGGUUGAUUAGCGCCGGCUAACUACGUGCCAGCAGCCGCGGUAAUACGUAGGGCGCGAGCGUUGUCCGGAAUUAUUGGGCGUAAAGGGCUUGUAGGUGGCUGGUUGCGUCUGUCGUGAAAGCUCAUGGCUUAACUGUGGGUUUGCGGUGGGUACGGGCUGGCUUGAGUGCAGUAGGGGAGGCUGGAAUUCCUGGUGUAGCGGUGGAAUGCGCAGAUAUGAGGAGGAAUACCGGUGGCGAAGGCGGGGCUCUGGGCUGUUACUGACACUGAGGAGCGAAAGCAUGGGGAGCGAACAGG
RNAcentral lists this ribosomal RNA (419 nucleotides) under bacterium. Its description in RNAcentral is "partial 16S ribosomal RNA". It matches the Rfam family "Bacterial small subunit ribosomal RNA", at positions 355 to 776 of the family's 1533-position model. The record is from RNAcentral.